RNAcentral lists this ribosomal RNA (509 nucleotides) under Fusarium oxysporum. RNAcentral's name for it is "eukaryotic LSU rRNA". The stretch from base 152 to 305 matches the Rfam family "5.8S ribosomal RNA". Lineage: Eukaryota; Fungi; Ascomycota; Sordariomycetes; Hypocreales; Nectriaceae. The record is from RNAcentral.
GAUCCGAAGGGUCAACUCCCAAACCCCUGUGAACAUACCACUUGUUGCCUCGGCGGAUCAGCCCGCUCCCGGUAAAACGGGACGGCCCGCCAGAGGACCCCUAAACUCUGUUUCUAUAUGUAACUUCUGAGUAAAACCAUAAAUAAAUCAAAACUUUCAACAACGGAUCUCUUGGUUCUGGCAUCGAUGAAGAACGCAGCAAAAUGCGAUAAGUAAUGUGAAUUGCAGAAUUCAGUGAAUCAUCGAAUCUUUGAACGCACAUUGCGCCCGCCAGUAUUCUGGCGGGCAUGCCUGUUCGAGCGUCAUUUCAACCCUCAAGCACAGCUUGGUGUUGGGACUCGCGUUAAUUCGCGUUCCCCAAAUUGAUUGGCGGUCACGUCGAGCUUCCAUAGCGUAGUAGUAAAACCCUCGUUACUGGUAAUCGUCGCGGCCACGCCGUUAAACCCCAACUUCUGAAUGUUGACCUCGGAUCAGGUAGGAAUACCCGCUGAACUUAAGCAUAUCAAUAA